AGACCAGGUGAACGAAGCAUUUUACCUGGAGGAGUCACCGUGGUAGGACGUACUUGUAUACCUCAAAUCCAGUCCUACACAUCUGAUCGUCUCUGGCCCCCGCACAUCUGACUGGCCUGUAAACUAGUCCUCGUCAGUCUAGUAAACACCUGUCGGCCCUCUGCACAGAGUGCAAGCGGAGGUGUUUUCCAGCAAACUGCCCCGCCCACUACCACCAGUCCACCAUCCUCCCCGUCCACAAGUCCACCUGAUCCACCCACAGCCCAUUGCUACGCCCACACAACCAGCCCACUCUUUUACCCGCUCACAGCUUCACCCACUAACCCCCGCUUUUACCAGACCAGCAGCCUCGCCCCUAGCCCACGCCUCGGCCCUCUCCUCAGUCCAGCCCAUCAGCCCACCUCGCAGUGCCGGAUCAGUGGUAGUGAGGUAAUUCUUGGUUAUAAAUCUCUACUCCAGGUGUCUCCCUUCGUAAAGAUGGUUAAAGCGUCGGAGUGGAGGUAGAGAUGAAGGGAAGAUUUCGGUACAGUGGACUGGAGCAGGCAGUUCUUGUAGUGACAACUGCAGUUAUUGGUUCGUUCCGGUACUCCCGCCAGCUGACUCAACCAUCCUGUGGCCAGUAUCACCAGCACCUGUUGAGACACUCCCCCGUCAGCCUCAGGGAUUGAUAAAGUCGUUGGUUCUUGAGCAGCUCUUGUCUAAGUGAAACA
Long non-coding RNA from Eriocheir sinensis (Chinese mitten crab), 710 nucleotides. RefSeq lists it as uncharacterized. The record is from RefSeq and is a predicted model, not a curated record. NCBI's taxonomy places the organism in Eukaryota, Metazoa, Arthropoda, Malacostraca, Decapoda, Varunidae. The transcript is spliced from 4 exons.